AGAAAGCUGAUAAAACGUAUCC
Molecule: non-coding RNA, 22 nt
Filed under: Arabidopsis thaliana (thale cress)
Lineage: Eukaryota; Viridiplantae; Streptophyta; Magnoliopsida; Brassicales; Brassicaceae
Source: RNAcentral